GAUGAAGAACGCAGCGAAAUGCGAUAAGUAAUGCGAAUUGCAGAAUUCAGUGAAUCAUCGAAUCUUUGAACGCACAUUGCGCCCGCCAGUAUUCUGGCGGGCAUGCCUGUCUGAGCGUCGUUUCGACCCUCGCGCCCGGCUUCUGUCGGGGGCGGUGUUGGGGAUCGGCCCCACCCUUCAGUGGGAGGCCGGCCCCUAAAUUCAGUGGCGACCACGCUGUAGCCUCCCCUGCGUAGUACUAAAACCACCUCGCAGGCGGAGAGCGGUGCGGCCCGCCGUAAAACCCCCCAACUUUUACAAGGUCGACCUCAGAUCAGGUAGGAAUACCCGCUGAACUUAAGCAUAUCAAUAAGCGGAGGA
This 360-nucleotide unclassified non-coding RNA is filed under the name soil metagenome. Its description in RNAcentral is "partial contains 5.8S ribosomal RNA, internal transcribed spacer 2, and large subunit ribosomal RNA". The stretch from base 1 to 120 matches the Rfam family "5.8S ribosomal RNA", at positions 35 to 154 of the family's 154-position model. The record is from RNAcentral.